GAUGAACGCUGGCGGCGUGCCUAAUACAUGCAAGUCGGGCGAACUGAUUAGAAGCUUGCUUCUAUGACGUUAGCGGCGGACGGGUGAGUAACACGUGGGCAACCUGCCUGUAAGACUGGGAUAACUUCGGGAAACCGAAGCUAAUACCGGAUAGGAUCUUCUCCUUCAUGGGAGAUGAUUGAAAGAUGGUUUCGGCUAUCACUUACAGAUGGGCCCGCGGUGCCUUAGCUAGUUGGUAAGGUAAAGGCACACCAAGGCAACGAUGCAUAGCCCAACGGAGAGGGGGAUCGGCCACGCUGGGACUGGGACACGGCCCAGACACCUACGGGAGGCAGCAGUAGGGAAUCGUCCGCAAUGGACGAAAGUCUGACGGAGCAACGCCGCGUGAGUGAUGAAGGCUUUCGGGUCGUAAAACGCUGUUGUUAGGGAAGAACAAGUACAAGAGUAACUGCUUGUACCUUGACGGUACCUAACCAGAAAGCCACGGCUAACUACGUGCCAGCCGCCGCCGUAA
Molecule: ribosomal RNA, 514 nt
Filed under: uncultured bacterium
Lineage: Bacteria
Description: partial 16S ribosomal RNA
Rfam family: Bacterial small subunit ribosomal RNA
Source: RNAcentral